ACUCUAACUACAAGGGCAUCAGAUAAAAUUGGAAUGAUACAGAGAAGAUUAACAUUGUCCCUGUGUAAGGAUGACACGCACAAAUCGAGAAGCAAGUCUAGAGUAU
Molecule: small nuclear RNA, 106 nt
Organism: Hibiscus syriacus
Lineage: Eukaryota; Viridiplantae; Streptophyta; Magnoliopsida; Malvales; Malvaceae
Source: RefSeq, a predicted model, not a curated record